CUGAAGGAAGUGAGGGGACAAACAACUGUGUAAUUUAUUUUUACAAGAGCUCUCCCAUUUCUUCAUUAACAAGUAUACAUAAAGGCAUCCAGAAUUAUAGCUCAAGUAGUCCAUGUCAAAUCAAGUUUUCUUAUAGUAUAUUAGGUCUUUAUAUUUUAAAAGCAGCUACAAGAAGGAAGAUACAAGAAAAACAGAAAAGUGCUUAUAUUUUACCCAGCAAGCAAUCUGGUGCCUGAAUUGUUAUUGUAUAGUUUGGCAGGUCUAUCAAAUUAAAUUUUAAAUAACAUGCUUGCUGUCUGUACAGCAGACCAGGCAACAUAUUUGAAGCAUGCCUUAAUUAAAGAAUCUAGGCAAGCAUCUCAGCUUUGUUGCUUCAGGCUUUCUUUAAUGAAACAGUACAAGUGAGUGGACACUGAAAUACUUCUGUGCUACUUCGGAGAAAAGAAACUAUUAAGAGGAGGAGGAGGAGACAGACAGAAAUUACAUGUGAGCUUCAUACUUCCAGAGGGAGGAAUAAUUCUGGAAGAGAAACAAAUAAGAAGAGACCAUGAUGGUAAGGAGCAGGAGAUACUGUAGUUCUUGAACCUGUCCUAGGUGCAAUAACCAAUCUGUAAUUGGGAGUACCCUGUUGCUGUAGCAGGUCAGAGUGGCUUUUUCCAGUAGAGAGAAACCCCUGGACAGGGACAACAGCAGAGGGACUGGUAGCCAAACGGGUGCAGCAUUUCGUACAUCAGUUUCUAUUCUGUGGAAUGGCUAAGCAGCAAAUGUCAAGCACAUGUGUGGCUUAUGACAGCAAGAAGGAAAAUGGAAGCAGGACACACAUAACAGAAGUUAACGCUGAGCAGAUUUACAAUCAAGAUGGCCCACAGAAUGACAGAAGACGUAACUUUCAGGGAGUUGUCUCUGGUCUCAGAGAGGUUGGUUUCAAAUUGAAAAGGCAGGCAACAGAGGUCAUAGUCCUUUUAGUAAUUAACAUGUAACAUGUACAUAAGUAAAACUGUGUAAAUCAUGGCAGUAAACUGCUGCUAAUUAAUAUGAUGCUGGUUGCAUUCCUGGUCAUACACCCAGCCACACAGCAGACACUUUUUGAUCCACGGUAAUUUACUCCCAUAACUUACAAGAGUUCAUGUGCUUGUGUAAAUUGGCAACAAGAUGGCUAAUAUCUGUUUUAUAGUCUGAUGCUCCAUUUCCUUGGGUGCAGCAUAAAGUUACACCGACAUAGGUUUGCAGGGAGUUAUAACCAUGCAGUCCACACUGUGUGUCUGAUUGUGCAGUUGCACAACUGUGCCUAUGGAACUGUUGCUAGAUAUCACUUCUGCCUUGGUGCAAAUUUUGGAACUACUCGCAACUGCAAGUUUUGCAGGCCUAGGUAUGCAACAGGAUUUGGGACACCAAGUCAUUUCAUUUGCUUUCUUGCAAGGGAUAGAUUGUAUUCCCAUGAGGUUCAUUUGUUGCUUCAAGAACUAUUUAGCUCUGCAAAAGGAAAGGAUACAGCAAGGCAUACACAUUAUCUUGCAAGAUAGAAUGUUUUAUUGUGUCGAAGCACUAUGCUAAGGCUGGAGCCACAUUAUCCCCCUGCUUAUCCUGGAGUGGGUGCACCUGGGAAGAAGUCACAUGAGCUGAAGGCUAUGGACCCUGACUGGAACCAUGUCAUUCCCAAACACCCUAGUCUCCUCAGAACCUGACGGUGUCUCCAGAAUUUGAAAAUCCAUAGGCACUUGGAAGACAUGCAAGGCAGAACUGCAUCGCACCCAUACAAACCCUUAGAUCACAGUAGUUGCUCAAAGCAAGACCUGGUUUAGUACCAUAAACCCUCAAAACCAAAAACUCAGACAGUUGGUUGAAGAAAUUUUUACAUUUUAGUAAAAGAAGCCAAAGAAUGGGAAAAGGUAAUAGAUACAGUAUUUCAGUUCAAGAUGGUUCUUUUGAGAGUGUAAUGCAAGAUAGUCUGUGCCUUGCAGUUUUGGUCAGAGGUGGCUAAUUUGCAAGACCUUCUCAUUUCUAAACAGAGGCCACAUGAUGGAAAGUUUGUCUCACACAGAGUAGCAGCUGGCACUUCUGCUCAUCCCCUGAUGUUAAGCUACUUAUUACCCAAAGUUAAGCAAGGUUUUCUGGCACAGGAGGUAGAAAAUCUUUCAGCACCACACCUCAUCUUUCACAGUAAAAAUACAAUAUUUGCUGCCCUUUCAUGACAUUCUAAUCCUGCCUCAUAAGAGUAUUCAUAACCCAACUCGGUUAAAGCCUCGAGUACCAAGCUUGUGCAA
Long non-coding RNA from Pogona vitticeps (central bearded dragon), 2264 nucleotides. RefSeq lists it as uncharacterized. The record is from RefSeq and is a predicted model, not a curated record. Lineage: Eukaryota; Metazoa; Chordata; Lepidosauria; Squamata; Agamidae.